AGGGGGAAGGGGGAGGGGAGUGCUAGCGAGCGCGGCCGGUGCAGUCGCCAGAUAGUAGUUGCAGCGUGCAGUGUGCUAGCGCGGACGCCCAGCGUGGCGAGUGGCGCACGUGCGUGUGUGUUUUUGUGCGUGUGUGUUGGUGCGUGCGUGUGGGUGUGUUGGUGCGUGUGUGUGAGUGUGUGUCCACGAGGGAAUUUCGGGAAACACUUUUACUAACCGCGGUGUGCUAGCAAAGGGCGGCGCGAUGUUGAUGGCCGCGCCCUCCGCCUCGCUGGUGGGCUCGCCGGCCUGGAUGUCGCUGCUGUACGCCGGGCUGCUGCUGCUGCUCAGCCCCGUGUCCCUGGUGCUGGUGCUGGUGCUGCUGCCCGCCCUGGAGGUGCCGCACUUGAUCCCCUUCUACUUCAUGCGCUCCAUGACGGCCUUCCCCACCGAGUCCAUCUGAUGUCACACGUUCGGUUCGAGUCCCAUUUCGCGGCUUUGGAGCUCAAAACCCGUCCGGGGUUUUGACCGCCUCCACCGGUCUUCUGGCCCACUGUGCUCCGCCUUCCGUUGGGCCGGCCUAGCCUGCACCCACUCGUCACCGCUGGCAGUGCCGGCACCACAGUCGUGGGCAGCUCCAGCAGCUCCAGGAGGGGGCUGGCGGAAUCUACCGUGCGGAGUGGAGCGGAGUGGAGCGGAGUGGAGCGGAGUGACUCACACUUGCAGAUGACGGCCUCGUCCGCCCGUCCGCCCGGAAUGGCG
Thrips palmi is the source of this 741-nucleotide long non-coding RNA. RefSeq lists it as uncharacterized. NCBI's taxonomy places the organism in Eukaryota, Metazoa, Arthropoda, Insecta, Thysanoptera, Thripidae. The record is from RefSeq and is a predicted model, not a curated record. The transcript has 3 exons.